Long non-coding RNA from Neofelis nebulosa (Clouded leopard), 359 nucleotides. RefSeq lists it as uncharacterized. Lineage: Eukaryota; Metazoa; Chordata; Mammalia; Carnivora; Felidae. The record is from RefSeq and is a predicted model, not a curated record. The transcript has 2 exons.
GAUUGAAAGGGCGGGCCUACGCCGGCCGACUCCAUCUUGUUCUGUGUUCUCCACCUUGAGUGACUAUGUCCCCGACAUGACCCCUUUUCCGGGAAAAUCACAGAAACCUCAGACCGUGCUUCCUCCCCUUGAGUAACCUCCUGCUCACCCGUUCAAACUUCCUGAUCAAAACACACCCAGCGACCUGCGUAACAGGACUCCGACCCUUCCCCAGCCAGUCGGCCGAGGCCACACCCCUAUAAAACCUUUGUGCUUUUGAAACUCCCUCUCUCUCCCUGGUAUCUCACCGCUGCGUUGGUGCAGGUAGGGGAUUGAGCUCGAGCUAGCUCGAAUAAAGGCUCUUUUGCUUUUGCAUCGGA